This 769-nucleotide long non-coding RNA is filed under the name Oryza sativa (Asian cultivated rice). RNAcentral's name for it is "long non-coding RNA (OSAT_LNC001754)". The record is from RNAcentral. Lineage: Eukaryota; Viridiplantae; Streptophyta; Magnoliopsida; Poales; Poaceae.
UCAUAUUCAGACAGUUUUGGAAGCUGCAAGUACACAUGGCUUGCCUCUUGAAUGUACAUCAAAGGAGUUUUUUAUAUGCUGCUGUACUGUGUUCCUUUCACUGAUGUGUGCUAUAUGCUCCAAGCGCAUAAAUUACAGGUAUGUUCCACACCAAUUUCCAUGUGGUUUAUGGUUGUCCAUCUACUAUAUUUCCUGAAAUUUCCAUGCUUACAUAUUUAUAUUAGCUACUUAGCUCCAAAGAAGUCUGUACCACUAUUUGCCAUUAUCUCUGUUCAGUUAUUUCAUUUUGUAAUCUUAUCUUCUCGAUUGGCAAUGAUGUGUUGUUUGCAUCUGCUUGAAGCAGAUAUACUGCAUGCAUGCUUCAGCUUCACAUCAAUGUUGAUGUAGUAUGUUAUUGCUCAUCUAAUAUUUGGUAGCAUUCUUCAUUCAUUAAUAUUUCAUUUAUCUCAGUGAAGACUUUCAUUCUGUCCACCAUUAUUGCUGCUCAGUUUUUUUCUUUCCAACUAUAUAAACAGUGUUCUAAAAAUCGCCAUUAGGCGGCACCUCGGCGCCGUGAUUAGCCCCUCGGUGGCGAGUUCGGCGGCUGCCCUGCCGCGACGGUCAACAUCGGUCCACCUCGGCGCCUAGGCGGCCUAGGCACGGUGGCGACUAGUCGACGAGGCGGCCGACUGAGCUAGCUAUGCGGGCUGCUGUGGCGGGUAUAUAAGGUGGGUGCAUCCUGGCUGCUUGACUUAAUCCCAAAAUCAGAGUGCGUGAAGGGGCGGCUAGG